RNAcentral lists this ribosomal RNA (253 nucleotides) under uncultured bacterium. Its description in RNAcentral is "partial 16S ribosomal RNA". It matches the Rfam family "Bacterial small subunit ribosomal RNA", at positions 524 to 776 of the family's 1533-position model. The record is from RNAcentral.
GACGAACCGAGCGAACGUUGUUCGGAAUCACUGGGCUUAAAGGGCGCGUAGGCGGCUUGUUAAGUAGGGUGUGAAAUCCCCCGGCUCAACCGGGGAAUUGCGCCCUAAACUGGCGAGCUGGAGUGAGAUAGGGGUGUGUGGAACUUCCAGUGGAGCGGUGAAAUGUGUUGAUAUUGGAAGGAACGCCAGUGGCGAAAGCGACACACUGGGUCUCAACUGACGCUGAGGCACGAAAGCCAGGGGAGCAAACGGG